ACAAGUCUGUAAAGACCAGAGGUCAACCUCAAAUGUUGUUCUUUAGGACACUGUCCACCUUGAUAUUAUAAACGGAGUCUUCCUCUUUUCUCCAGAACUCAUUGAUCAGGCCAGGGUGGCUGGACAGUGAGAGGCCCAGGCAUACGCCUUCCUCCAUGUACUGAACACUGGGAUUGUAUGUGCUCACCACCAGGCCCAGUUUUUAUGUGUCUUCUAGGCAACUCCACUCAGUCUUCAUGUCUGUGCAAUAAGCACUUAGCUCACUGUGCCUUCUCCCCAAUUCCCCAAGGGAAUCUUGACCGUUGUGAAGCCAUGGGAAGAGAGAAUGAAAGACAGUGGGAGAAUUGCAUUGCCUGUGUCCUAAAGGCCCUCUCUUCCACCACAGAUCCCAGACUAGCUCAUAGAAAAGGCAAUUACAGACACAGGAAGUGGACAACCCAUUGUCACAGAGGGCCUGGGGAGACAGUUGGUGAAGUGCCUGCCACACAAGUAAGAAGAACUGAGUCUGAUUCUGACAACCCACAUAAACACCAGGAGUGUGAGGCGGCAGGCUUGCAACCCAAGUGCUGGUGACAGUAUCAGCUGUAACACCCCGCAAUGGAAGUACCAUUCACCAUCCAUGACAACGUGCUAUUUCUGACCUCACCAUGUCCCUGAUAGAGCAAGCAGCUCCAGUGAAGAUACUCCUUGAGUUCAUCCACCGGACAUCUGCAUAUGCUGCUGGCCUCAUUGUGAGCUUUUACUGCUCUGUCCAGCACACUGGGCUAUCUAUGUCUUUUUUGCCCGAUUAUAGGUCUGCUAUUAGUCUAUUCCUGUAACCUGCCAUUGUGUGCUAGCCUGGCACAGAGGAACAGAGGGAUUAGUUUGUCCUGCUAAUUGGCAUCUUUGCUUCUAAAUGUACACAGUCUAUAGCUGACAAUCACUAAUAUGCUUACCUGUUUAUCUGCACUCCCACCCUAGAAAUGUUGUGUUAUCAUCUACCCAACACACGUGCUGUUUGUCAUAUAUUCUUGGAGGAGACAGACUGUGACUUGGCAGGGUUUACUUAUAUAGAACCUCUGGGUGCUCUGAGGUGGCAUUUGUCACAAUCCACAGAUUAAACGGCUUCUGUUAGCUUACUUUUUUUUCACUUACUCUAGUGAAUAUUGGCUUGAUUCGUCUUUAUCUGAAAAAGUCACUCUCCUAUUAGAAAAGAUUCUGGUGAACUAAGAGUUUGAGAUUUGGAGUUCAAAAUAACGAAUAACUAAAUAAAAUGAAUUAAAGGUA
Mesocricetus auratus (golden hamster) is the source of this 1266-nucleotide long non-coding RNA. RefSeq lists it as uncharacterized. The record is from RefSeq and is a predicted model, not a curated record. Lineage: Eukaryota; Metazoa; Chordata; Mammalia; Rodentia; Cricetidae. The transcript is spliced from 3 exons.